Long non-coding RNA from Cuculus canorus (common cuckoo), 1435 nucleotides. RefSeq lists it as uncharacterized. The record is from RefSeq and is a predicted model, not a curated record. The transcript is spliced from 6 exons. Lineage: Eukaryota; Metazoa; Chordata; Aves; Cuculiformes; Cuculidae.
CCGCCCUCGGGAUUGGGCGAGAUCGGGGCCGUGGGGCUCCGCGGGGAGCUGGGAGCGCGGCGGCGCUGAGCCGGGGCCGCGUCACGGGGACCGCGCGGGUGCGCGUCCGGCCCGGCCGCGGGGAUCCUGGUCGAGGGAACGGCAAGUUUCCCGUCUCUGUCCUGCCCCAGCUCGGGUACUCCUGGUGCCUUCCCUCCUCGGGUCUCUUUGCCACCUCCUGCUCUCUCUCUGGGAAACCCCUGCCCUCACUCUCCUCAGAUUGCUGCUCUCUCUUCUCUGGUUUUCCUAAGAUAUAACUGUGUCAAUGGAGCAGCAGCAUUAGAAGAUGAAGCAUUGCCAAGAAUAAGAAAAUCAAAACACGUAUGAGAUACAAGCUAGUAUCAGAAGACAACGUUUGACAGAAGACUGUGGCUUAGAAAACUGACACUGCAGAGCUAUGAUUUAGGUGUCCUAUUAUUUCAAUGAACACGCUCAGGUUAUAUUUUUUAAAUAACCUGCAUUUAUGACAAAAUCGUCCUUGAUCCACCUUAUCGCAAUUUAGAGAGAGGGCAAAUUCUGACGGGACAUCACUGAUCUUCUUUCAGUAUAAAGAACUUUCUCCCUGUGCAAACGGAUUGUAGGAAUAUUGCAUGGAUUCAUGUAAGCCUAGAACAAUUAAAUGCGCUGAAGAAAUGGGACGUUUCUCUGGCACUAAUUGCCCAAACAGAAACUGGAAAAUUCAGGAUACAAAUCAGUUACGUAGAAAAAUGCUCAUACGGAAGAGAAGACAUUUUCAGAGAAGAAUAACAGAUGAUGGAAAAUGAUGUCUGACUGUGUUAUUGUCACAAGAAAAAUGAAUGCCAGUGUCCAAAAAGUGAGCUAUGGGUCAUGUUUCCCUUAGUCUGUUCUUCUGUUGGCCUUUUUUGACUGAGAAAAUUUCGGGAUCAGGUUGGAUUUAAUUAGUAUGGUAAAUAAAUCCAUCUUAAAGGCAAGUAUGUCUUGUGUACACCUUUAGCGAAUUUUUAAAGACAUUUAGGCUUCAGACUGCUUUGAAAGGAAUACGCACCAGCAGGUGGAGCAAAUAGAUAGAGAUGUUAGAUGUUGUGGUUCUGCAGCUGCUUACAACGCUAUGAUCAGUUUUUAAGACAAGUACAGAAAUUGGGAGGGGUCUUAGGCGAUACCCUACAAAAAUUAACAUCAACGAAAAAUGAAAGCUCUUUAUACCAUACCCUUCAUUAUAUAAAGCCAGAGCUAACUGACGUAAUCUGUGUAUAACUGCUGUAACAGAAACCAAAGGUUACAAGGGAAAUAAAGAUAUACAAUAUUUAGACUCUGACACGGGAAAUUCUGUAUCAGUCUUGAGUCCAAGGUGUCAUAGAUGCAAUGUAAGUAUAAUUUGAGACCUUACGGUUUAAACUGAAGAAAUACUAAUAAUGUGCGGUUUGCCCAAAUAAAA